CCCUUAGAUGUUCUGGGCCGCACACGCGCUACACUGAAGGAGGCAGCGUGUACUCCUGGAUCGAAAGAUUUGGGUAACCCGCGAAUCUCCUUCGUGCUAGGGAUUGAGGUUUGCAAUUAUCCUUCAUGAACGAGGAAUUCCCAGUAAGUGCAAGUCAUAAGCUUGCGCUGACUACGUCCCUGCCCUUUGUACACACCGCCCGGCGCUACUACCGAUUGAAUGAUUUAGUGAGGACUUCGGACUGGGACCGAUGCGGCUUUCGGGCUGCGUCGGUAUUCUGGAAAGAUGUCCAAACUGUAUCAUUUAGAGGAAGUAAAAGUCGUANCA
RNAcentral lists this ribosomal RNA (327 nucleotides) under uncultured eukaryote. Its description in RNAcentral is "partial 18S ribosomal RNA". It matches the Rfam family "Eukaryotic small subunit ribosomal RNA", at positions 1470 to 1796 of the family's 1831-position model. The record is from RNAcentral.